AUGAUAGAAUAAUCAAGACCAAGAGUUUAAAGGAACUGAUCCCAUGAACAAGCAAAGGAGAACCUACUAGCUACCCUCCACCUUACACCAACCUCCCAACAUCACAAUGCUUGCUCCAACGAGAAAAGGCAAGAAAAAUAUUGUUCCAUUCACCAACCUUCAUCACCCCUCCAUUCUCCUACAGUGACAAACUCUACAACCCCACCAUAAUAGCCGAAAAAGCACUCUCUGCAGCAACAACAAACAACACACCACAACCUCCACACCUGUCACUAGUAGAAAAACACACCAACAUUUACACAAAAUUGCACAACAACACCCAUCUCCAACAAGUACCACGGCUUCACCUAGAUGUUUUCCGAAUACACUCAACUGGAUUCAUCAUCCAGUCAGAGAGAAUAAAAAAUCAUUUAGUCUUAGCCUAGCUUUAGCCACUUCCACCUGUUGACCUUCAUUUGUUCAAGGAUUUCGUGACCCUAUAAAUUAUGAUCUUUAAAAAUCAUACCAUUUCUAGCAAUCCAAAUAGCUUUGACCACAGCAUGCCAUGCAUACCAACAUCCAACAUUCUACUUCAAUCCCCCUACCCCUUGCCAACCCAUCAAAUUGAUGCAUCUAAGCAUCCAUUUGAUCCUCUUGCAAAAUGAUUACUAAAAUGCCUAAUCAUUCCGACUCUCAUACCCCUAAAGUUGAUUGUUUCCUAUGUUAGCUGAUUUCAAUCCCUAAAGUUUAGGGAUCAAUUAUGUUCUCCACAUAUUACACACACAAAUUCAAUGUAGUACUACAUAACAAAAGUUGUUUUUAGAUUCAACUUGCUCAAGCAAUUGAAAGUACAAAUUAGUUUUCAGAAUCAAAAAUCUAUAGGCAGUUCAUUUUUAGAUGCUAUUUUUCAGUUUUUUUACUAUUUUGUUAUGCACUUUCUAUUAUCAAUCUAAAAUCUAACACUUUUUCUCUUGUUCCCAUUGCUCAUGUCACAUUACCUACAACAUUGCAUUAUUCUCUUGUCACAGUUACACCUACACCUACACCAACCCUCCCAUCAUAUCUAAUCUAAAUUCUACCUAUUCCUAUCUAUCUGAACAGAGCAGAGGAGAGAGAGAGAGAGAGAUACACUGUCACACACACAACACAAAACACAAAGGGUCUGUGUUUGUUCCCCUGAAAAGUCCAGCUUUCUCCACCACCUCUCUAGGGUUCCUUCGGUUUCAAUUUUUGCUUAAAAAUAUUAUUUUUUUUACUCUUAUUUUCCAAAUCUAAACUCGUAUUUCCCUUUGGAAAUUCUUCUCAAAGUAUUAUCAUGAGCUAAUGUUGUCAUAAUUAUUUAUAAUUCAAUUUAAAUUUAUCUUUUAUCAUUCUUCUUUAGAUAGAUUUGUGUGCUGUUUUGUGUAGUUUCUUGUUGUUGUGACAUACUUUUGUGAGUUUGGUUGUCGAACAAUUUCCUUUUUCUUCUUUUAGUUGGCUCUCUAAUCUAAUACAAUGUUUGAUCUUGGCUGCAUGUUUUCAAUUCAUACUGUUUCAUCCCAGUUCGAUAAAUUACGAGUCAUGGCAUGACAUCUAUACAUUGUUCAUAGUUUGCAUUAGAAUUCCCUUUUCAUUUUUCUUUUCUCUAGUCUUCAUAUUACUAAGUAGGUAUAAAUUCUUGUCAAAAUGCUUACUUAUUAUCUCUUUGCAGCAGCUGAAUUUGUAGAACUGAACUAAAGCUUCCUUCAUCAUAUUUUCCAACAGCUUAAUUACAAAAUAGCAUAUAAGAUAAUCUUCUAGAGCCAAUAUCCUCUUGCCACGUAAUCAUUGUCUUGGCUGGACUUCCUUGACGUAAUCUUGCAGAUAGUGAGUGGAUCUCAUCAAUUGUUUUCUGGAGAGAGAGAGCUCACGAAAGCAAGCCACUCGAUCCAACAACGUCUACGAUCAUUGUCUACUAGAUCACCUAGUGCUGAGAGACCAGUGGUCCAUGUUGAUCCUGCUACCGAUAAGGCCGAUGGUCCCCAAAGGAAGAAAUUAAGAAUAUAUUUGGGGAUUGUGGCGCGUGAUAAGAUGGACAUCACCUGCGAGAACUGGAAAGAGGUCCCUACUGCUCAGAAGGACUUGCUUUGGGAGGAUAUUCAGGCGGAAUUUGAAAUCCCAGAGGCUUCUGACAGUAGGACGAAAAGGAAGUUACUUUAGACUAUGGGCGAGAGAUAGAGGCAACCUCACGAGGAAAUGAGCCCUUGCAGCCGAUCAAGACGGUGUGAACGACACUGUCUGUGAGAAAUAGGACAUAAGCA
Molecule: long non-coding RNA, 2258 nt
Organism: Glycine soja
Lineage: Eukaryota; Viridiplantae; Streptophyta; Magnoliopsida; Fabales; Fabaceae
Exons: 5
Source: RefSeq, a predicted model, not a curated record